GUUGGCCAUUUUGUGUAUAUACACCCUGCAUUUGCGCGUCUUGUUUGGUGUUUCAGCAAUUCUGAGCGUUUGUUUCUGAUUUGGUUUUCUGGUCUUUUGUCCUCGCCUUUUGGUUUGUUAUUGACUGCUCUUUUGGAUCUGCCCCCUUUGAAUCUGGCUGCUUUCCAUGGCCUGCUUUUCUGGAUUUCUAACCCUCUGCUUGUUUUGACUUACUUUGCACCUGGAAUUAAACUUGCGCUUGACUCCUGCCCCUCGUGUGAAGCAGUUCAUGACAGAAGACUUUGCCAUAUUAUGGAGUCAGCAAGUUUGGAGGAGCGUAUGAACAAAUAGGAACAGUGGUUGGAGGAUCUGUGCGGUAUGUUACAAUAAUUGCUGAACUGCUCGGACCAGCCCAACAUAGCCUCCACCCCAACAUCUCCAACAGUUCCUCCUGAACAAAACUCCUCCACCUCAGCUAUACCCACCGCGCGUCCUCCGGUCUCCAUUGCCCUCCUAGAAAGGUAUGAUGGCUCUCCCGAUCUCUGUCAGAGGUUCUUGAUGCAGUGCAGUAUGUUCAUUGAACAUCACCCUGAACAGUUUCUGAUGGAGAUCAACAAGAUUCAUUUUGUAAUCUCCUUGCUAAGUGGGAAAUCUAAGGCAUGGGCCUCUGCACUCUGGACCCAAAAUAGUGACAUUAUGAAAUCUGAGACAUGAUUUUUGAACUCUUUUAAGGCGGUGUUUAAUCACCCUUUGACUGGACGUGAUGUGGGAAAUUCCCUGUGUGAUAUUCGUCAGGGAAAACGCUCUGCAGCAGAAUAUGCUCUAGAGUUCUGGACCUUGGCAGCAGGUAGUGGCUGGAGUGAGGUUGCCCUGCUCAUGAUCUAUAAGAGAGGUUUGAGGAAGGCUCUCCAGGCUGAAAUGGUCUGUCGAGGUGAGCAAUUGACUCUAGAUCGCUUUUUUCGAACCUCAAUUGCUUUGGAUGACUUGGUGCGUGAGAGGAACAGCCUGCAACGACCAUCUAUAACCACUCCAGUCACCCCGGCCUCGACUCCUGAAGCUGAACCCAUGGAAUUAGGUAGAACAAGUCUACCAGAGACAGAAAGGCGUUGUCACUUGAGAAAGAACCUCUGUCUCUAUUGUGGUCAUACUGGUCACCGGCUUGCUAACUGCUCCCAAUAUCCUAGUUCUUCUAGGACGUUGGAGGAGCAUUUGUUGCAACAGGAGUCCUGACCUCAACCCCACAGAACACCUUUGGGAUGAAUUAGAGUGGAGACUGUGAGCCAGGCCUUCUCGUCCAACAUCCAACUAAUCCUAACCCUUGUGGAAAGC
This is a long non-coding RNA of Pygocentrus nattereri (red-bellied piranha), 1308 nucleotides long. Lineage: Eukaryota; Metazoa; Chordata; Actinopteri; Characiformes; Serrasalmidae. The record is from Ensembl.